Molecule: ribosomal RNA, 800 nt
Filed under: uncultured marine bacterium
Lineage: Bacteria
Description: bacterial SSU rRNA
Rfam family: Bacterial small subunit ribosomal RNA
Source: RNAcentral
GAGUUUGAUCCUGGCUCACAACGAACGCUGGCGGCGCGGUUUACGCAUGCAAGUCGAGCGCGAAAGUUCCUUCGGGGNNGAGUAGAGCGGCGAAAGGGUGAGUAAUGCUUGGGUAACUUACCCCUCAGACUGGGAUAGCCACUGGAAACGGUGGGUAAUACCAGAUGGUCUCGAGGGUGCUGCGGCACCAACGAGUAAAGCGGGCUUCGGCUCGCACCGAGGGAGAGGCCCGAGUCCUACCAGCUUGUUGGUGAGGUAACGGCUCACCAAGGCGAAGACGGGUAGCCGGACUGAGAGGUUGGCCGGCCACACUGGCACUGAGACACUGGCCAGACUCCUACGGGAGGCUGCAGUCGAGAAUCUUCCGCAAUGGACGAAAGUCUGACGGAGCGACGCCGCGUGGAGGAAGAAGGCCUUCGGGUUGUAAACUCCUGUCAGAGCUUAAGAACCCCCGGUGGUUAAUACCCAUCGGGCUGACAAAGGGCUCAAAGGAAGCCACAGCUAACUUCGUGCCAGCAGCUGCGGUAAUACGAAGGUGGCGAGCGUUGUUCGGAUUCACUGGGCAUAAAGGGCGUGUAGGCUGCUUAGUAAGCGGUGUGUGAAAGCCCGGGGCUCAACCCCGGAACUGCAGACCGAACUGCUGAGCUAGAGAACGAGAGGGGACUGUGGAACUCUAGGUGGAGCGGUGAAAUGCGUAGAUAUCUAGAGGAACACCGGUGGCGAAAGCGACAGUCUGGCUCGUUUCUGACGCUGAGGCGCGAAAGCGUGGGUAGCAAACAGGAUUAGAUACCCUGGUAGUC